UACGGGGGGUGCAAGCGCUGUUCGGAAUUAUUGGGCGUAAAGCGCGUGUAGGCGGUCUGUUAAGUCUGGUGUGAAAGCCCUGGGCUCAACCCGGGAAGUGCAUUGGAUACUGGCAGACUUGAGUACGGGAGAGGGAAGUGGAAUUUCGAGUGUAGGGGUGAAAUCCGUAGAUAUUCGAAGGAACACCGGUGGCGAAGGCGGCUUCCUGGACCGAUACUGACGCUGAGACGCGAAAGCGUGGGGAGCAAACAGGAUUAGAUACCCUGGUAGUCCACGCUGUAAACGAUGGGUACUAGGUGUUGCGGGUAUUGACCCCUGCAGUGCCGAAGCUAACGCAUUAAGUACCCCGCCUGGGGAGUACGGUCGCAAGACUAAA
This 376-nucleotide ribosomal RNA is filed under the name uncultured bacterium. Its description in RNAcentral is "bacterial SSU rRNA". It matches the Rfam family "Bacterial small subunit ribosomal RNA", at positions 524 to 898 of the family's 1533-position model. The record is from RNAcentral.